This 468-nucleotide ribosomal RNA is filed under the name uncultured bacterium. RNAcentral's name for it is "partial 16S ribosomal RNA". It matches the Rfam family "Bacterial small subunit ribosomal RNA", at positions 28 to 507 of the family's 1533-position model. The record is from RNAcentral.
GACGAACGCUGGCGGCGUGCUUAACACAUGCAAGUCGAACGGAAAGGCCCUGCUUUUGUGGGGUGCUCGAGUGGCGAACGGGUGAGUAACACGUGAGUAACCUGCCCUGGACUUUGGGAUAACUUCAGGAAACUUGGGCUAAUACCGGAUAGGAGCUCCUGCUGCAUGGUGGGGGUUGGAAAGUUUCGGCGGUUGGGGAUGGACUCGCGGCUUAUCAGCUUGUUGGUGGGGUAGUGGCUUACCAAGGCUUUGACGGGUAGCCGGCCUGAGAGGGUGACCGGCCACAUUGGGACUGAGAUACGGCCCAGACUCCUACGGGAGGCAGCAGUGGGGAAUAUUGCACAAUGGGCGGAAGCCUGAUGCAGCAACGCCGCGUGCGGGAUGACGGCCUUCGGGUUGUAAACCGCUUUCGCCUGUGACGAAGCGUGAGUGACGGUAAUGGGUAAAGAAGCACCGGCUAACUACGUG